AGAGUUUGAUCAUGGCUCAGGAUGAACGCUAGCGGCAGGCUUAACACAUGCAAGUCGAGGGGCAGCAGGCGGUAGCAAUACUGUGCUGGCGACCGGCGCACGGGUGCGUAACGCGUAUGCAACCUACCCACUACAGGGGGAUAACGGAGGGAAACUUCCACUAAUAUCCCAUGGUGUUGUUUUCCCGCAUGGGGAGACAACUAAAGCUUCGGUGGUAGUGGAUGGGCAUGCGUGACAUUAGGUAGUUGGCGGGGCAACGGCCCACCAAGCCGACGAUGUCUAGGGGAGCUGAGAGGCUUAUCCCCCACACUGGUACUGAGACACGGACCAGACUCCUACGGGAGGCAGCAGUGAGGAAUAUUGGUCAAUGGACGGAAGUCUGAACCAGCCAUGCCGCGUGGAGGAAGAAGGUCCUAUGGGUUGUAAACUCCUUUUGUUCCGGAGUAAUAAGGUCUUUGCGAAGACCGAUGAGAGUACGGGACGAAUAAGCAUCGGCUAACUCCGUGCCAGCAGCCGCGGUAAUACGGAGGAUGCAAGCGUUAUCCGGAUUUAUUGGGUUUAAAGGGUGCGCAGGCGGACAGUUAAGUCAGCGGUGAAAUCUCACGGCUCAACCGUGGAACUGCCGUUGAUACUGGCUGUCUAGAGUACGGACGGCGCCGGCGGAAUGUGUCAUGUAGCGGUGAAAUGCUUAGAUAUGCCACAGAACACCCGAUCGCGAAGGCAGCUGGCGAGGCCGGUACUGACGCUCAGGCACGAAAGCGUGGGGAUCAAACAGGAUUAGAUACNCUGGUAGUCCACGCAGUAAACGAUGAGGACUUGUUGUCGGCGAUAGAAUGUCGGUGACAAAGCGAAAGCGAUAAGUCCUCCACCUGGGGAGUACGAUCGCAAGGUUGAAACUCAAAGGAAUUGACGGGGGCCCGCACAAGCAGUGGAUUAUGUGGUUUAAUUCGAAGCAACGCGAAGAACCUUACCAGGUCUUGACAUCUCCUGCAUAGCCUAGAGAUAGGUGAAGUCCUUCGGGACAGGAUGACAGGUGGUGCAUGGUUGUCGUCAGCUCGUGUCGUGAGAUGUUGGGUUAAGUCCCGCAACGAGCGCAACCCUUGCCAUUAGUUGCUACGCGAGAGCACUCUAAUGGGACCGCUACCGACAAGGUGGAGGAAGGUGGGGAUGACGUCAAAUCAUCAUGCCCCUUAUGACCUGGGCUACACACGUAAUACAAUGGCCAUCAACAGAGGGUCGCAAUACCGCGAGGUGGAGCCAAUCCCUAAAAAUGGUCUCAGUUCGGAUCGCAGGCUGCAACCCGCCUGCGUGAAGCUGGAAUUGCUAGUAAUCGCGGAUCAGCAUGCCGCGGUGAAUACGUUCCCGGGCCUUGUACACACCGCCCGUCACACCAUGGGAGUUUGUAACACCCGAAGUCUGUAGUCUAACCCUUGUGGAGGACGCAGCCGAAGGUGGGAUAAGCGACUGGGGUGAAGUCGUAACAAGGUAACCGUA
This 1494-nucleotide ribosomal RNA is filed under the name uncultured rumen bacterium. Its description in RNAcentral is "partial 16S ribosomal RNA". It matches the Rfam family "Bacterial small subunit ribosomal RNA". The record is from RNAcentral.